RNAcentral lists this long non-coding RNA (289 nucleotides) under Brassica napus (rape). RNAcentral describes it as "long non-coding RNA (BNAP_LNC017958)". Lineage: Eukaryota; Viridiplantae; Streptophyta; Magnoliopsida; Brassicales; Brassicaceae. The record is from RNAcentral.
UAUUUUUUUUUUUGUCAUCAAAAGCUUCAUUUCACAAUCAAAUUGGUCCGAACAUACCGGCUUCUAGAGCUAGUGGUUCAAAAACCAAAACGUCUACAAGCAAGUAGUUUAAGUCUCGUGAUCGGGCCUCUUUCGCAAGAGAAUCUGUACGGAUGUUUAAAGAAUGUGAAAUAAAGCUCAAAGAAAAAGAGGUAAAGGUUGCACUCAAAGAGGCAAUGGUAUCGAUUUCAGGAUCCAGUGAUGGCCAUUGCUUGGAGGAUCAUAUGAUUUGUACCAACUGUUGACAGUC